UGGGGAAUAUUGGACAAUGGGCGAAAGCCUGAUCCAGCCAUGCCGCGUGUGUUAAGAAGGUCUUCGGAUUGUAAAGCAUUUUAAGUUGGGAGGAAGGGCAGUAAGCGAAUACCUUGCUGUUUUGACGUUACCGACAGAAUAAGCACCGGCUAACUCUGUGCCAGCAGCCGCGGUAAUACAGAGGGUGCAAGCGUUAAUCGGAAUUACUGGGCGUAAAGCGCGCGUAGGUGGUUCGUUAAGUUGAAUGUGAAAGCCCCGGGCUCAACCUGGGAGAUGCAUCCAAAACUGGCGAGCUAGAGUAGGGCAGAGGGUGGUGCAAUUUCCUGUGUAGCGGUGAAAUGCGUAGAUAUAGGAAGGAACACCAGUGGCGAAGACGACCACCUGGGCUCAUACUGACACUGAGGUGCGAAAGCGUGGGGAGCAAACAGG
Molecule: ribosomal RNA, 429 nt
Filed under: Pseudomonadota bacterium
Lineage: Bacteria; Pseudomonadati; Pseudomonadota
Description: Proteobacteria bacterium partial 16S ribosomal RNA
Rfam family: Bacterial small subunit ribosomal RNA
Source: RNAcentral